CUACGGGGGGCUCCAGUGAGGAAUAUUGCACAAUGGGGGGAACCCUGAUGCAGCAACGCCGCGUGGAGGAUGACGCAUUUCGGUGUGUAUACUCCUUUUAUAUGUCAAGAAAAUGACGGUAGCAUAUGAAUAAGCACCGGCUAACUCCGUGCCAGCAGCCGCGGUAGUACGGAGGGUGCGAGCGUUACUCGGAAUCACUGGGCGUAAAGGACGCGUAGGCGGGUUGGAAAGUCAGGUGUGAAAUCCUACAGCUUAACUGUAGAACUGCACUUGAAACUUCUAAUCUAGAGUAUGGGAGGGGGAGAUGGAAUUAGUGGUGUAGGGGUAAAAUCCGUAGAUAUCACUAGGAAUACCUAAAGCGAAGGCGAUCUCCUGGAACAUUACUGACGCUAAGGCGUGAAAGCGUGGGGAGCAAACAGGAUUAGAUACCCGUGUAGUC
RNAcentral lists this ribosomal RNA (439 nucleotides) under uncultured bacterium. RNAcentral's name for it is "partial 16S ribosomal RNA". It matches the Rfam family "Bacterial small subunit ribosomal RNA", at positions 339 to 795 of the family's 1533-position model. The record is from RNAcentral.